This is a long non-coding RNA of Saccostrea cuccullata (small rock oyster), 2850 nucleotides long. RefSeq lists it as uncharacterized. The record is from RefSeq and is a predicted model, not a curated record. The transcript has 10 exons. Lineage: Eukaryota; Metazoa; Mollusca; Bivalvia; Ostreida; Ostreidae.
GAUUGACUUUUCUGAUACAAUUUAUUUAAUUCAUGCUCAUUUUGUAUUUCAUUCAGAGUCUGGUCCACUUGGCCACCAGUGGGGAUGGGGGCACCAACCCCUGCACAGAGGCUUCGGAGCGAGCUGCCCGGACCGUGAUUUGAUGAGUGAGCUGCACUGUGCGCCCGACCAGCAAAGUUUCUUGUGAAAGUAACAUUUCGGGGCAGGGAUCGCCGCAGAGUUCUGUUGAAGCUUUCGACCUUUUGCGAGUUGGUGUUUUUGAUUGUCCUGUCCAGUACAGCUGGAGACAACCUCUUAGAGAUGCAGGCAUGGAGCCUUGCCUCAUUUUCCGCGGAAGACGCAGACCGUCCUUAUAGAGGGAAUCUGCAGCUCGACCGGCAGAGCUGUCCGGGUCAGUGGUUACCUCCCUUACCUCGAGGCCAUCUUUGCAGAGGAGUUCAGCCAUCCCCUCCCGAGCCCAAGUGAACUCAUCCCCAAUGGUAUGGUGCAUUGGUAGAUUUGCCCCACACACCCCAGGACUGCAGUGGUGGUUAGCAGUGCCCUCAUCCAAGACUUUCGCGUAGGAGGGGGAGUGUUGGUAGAAAGAAGGAUUUUCCUCAUCCCAUCAUUGCCUAUAGGGGUUUGACUGAGGCCAACUUGAAGCCCAUAGUUAACAGUGGCAGCUUUCCUACCCCGGGAUUUGGUCUCUACCUCCUCAUACAGAUUGUACCGCCUUGAUACAUAUAGACACUUAGUACAUCGAAGGCCCAUCCGGCUUCCCAGACCACGCCUCUCUUCGGAUGCCAGAUCCCAAUCAAGCGGUCCAUCGCACCCCGGAUUCCCUUGCUGGUGGAGAGAAAUCACCUCAUUCCACAUCUCGGCUGUUUUCCCAAGGUGUAGCAGUCGAUGGGAAUUUUGAUUGGCCAAUCUAGGCAUUUUGGAGGGCUUUCAACUUUCGGUCUCCUUGGCCUAAGGAGAUGGUGGCACAUGGGCCGCACGAGCAUUUCCUGCCCUUCCGCAGCUAUAGGAGUUUCCGAAACCAUCUGAUGCAAUUGCUGGGACAGUCUGUUGUACCGUGCAGUCAUCCAUAAAUCCAAAUAUGAUCACAAGUCUGAAAGUCAUUCACUCAGUCUAACACGGUUGGCCGCAGUAGGGUGUCAUCAGUUCAGAAGGUCACAGUAUCCAAGACGCUGAGGUUGCAGGACUCAGAUUUCAUACAUGUACUCGGAGUCUGGUCCACUUGGCCACCAGUGGGGAUGGGGGCACCAACCCCUGCACAGAGGCUUCGGAGCGAGCUGCCCGGACCGUGAUUUGAUGAGUGAGCUGCACUGUGCGCCCGACCAGCAAAGUUUCUUGUGAAAGUAACAUUUCGGGGCAGGGAUCGCCGCAGAGUUCUGUUGAAGCUUUCGACCUUUUGCGAGUUGGUGUUUUUGAUUGUCCUGUCCAGUACAGCUGGAGACAACCUCUUAGAGAUGCAGGCAUGGAGCCUUGCCUCAUUUUCCGCGGAAGACGACCGUCCUUAUAGAGGGAAUCUGCAGCUCGACCGGCAGAGCUGUCCGGGUCAGUGGUUACCUCCCUUACCUCGAGGCCAUCUUUGCAGAGGAGUUCAGCCAUCCCCUCCCGAGCCCAAGUGAACUCAUCCCCAAUGGUAUGGUGCAUUGGUAGAUUUGCCCCACACACCCCAGGACUGCAGUGGUGGUUAGCAGUGCCCUCAUCCAAGACUUUCGCGUAGGAGGGGGAGUGUUGGUAGAAAGAAGGAUUUUCCUCAUCCCAUCAUUGCCUAUAGGGGUUUGACUGAGGCCAACUUGAAGCCCAUAGUUAACAGUGGCAGCUUUCCUACCCCGGGAUUUGGUCUCUACCUCUUCAUACAGAUUGUACCGCCUUGAUACAUAUAGACACUUAGUACAUCGAAGGCCCAUCCGGCUUCCCAGACCACGCCUCUCUUCGGAUGCCAGAUCCCAAUCAAGCGGUCCAUCGCACCCCGGAUUCCCUUGCUGGUGGAGAGAAAUCACCUCAUUCCACAUCUCGGCUGUUUUCCCAAGGUGUAGCAGUCGAUGGGAAUUUUGAUUGGCCAAUCUAGGCAUUUUGGAGGGCUUUCAACUUUCGGUCUCCUUGGCCUAAGGAGAUGGUGGCACAUGGGCCGCACGAGCAUUUCCUGCCCUUCCGCAGCUAUAGGAGUUUCCGAAACCAUCUGAUGCAAUUGCUGGGACAGUCUGUUGUACCGUGCAGUCAUCCAUAAAUCCAAAUAUGAUCACAAGUCUGAAAGUCAUUCACUCAGUCUAACACGGUUGGCCGCAGUAGGGUGUCAUCAGUUCAGAAGGUCACAGUAUCCAAGACGCUGAGGUUGCAGGACUCAGAUUUCAUACAUGUACUCGGGUAAGUGUAAAGUCUUUAAAAAUUACUAAAUUGACUAAUUCCAAGGUAGGUAACAAUAUGAGUAUAGGAAUGAGAGUACCAAAUCCCCGGAUGUGCACAUGGCUUUGUUUGUGGCAGAAUGUAGAUUCAAGGAUUAAAUAGGUAGGCGUUGUCUGAUUGGCUGAAUUCAGGUAAGUAAUUAACUUAAUUUUAAAGUAAAAAUAUUAAUGUUUGAAAUAAAUGAUGGAAUGAGGAAAUAUUAUAGAAAGUAUAGAAAAGCCAGGGGAAGUUUUAGGAGUGGGGGUUGAUUUUUGACAUAGCAUGUUAUUUACUGCCGAUCUCUAUAAGUUGCGGAAAGGGGCAAUUUUGACCUAUAAACGCCAUGGGACCCUAUAUUUUUGUCAGUAUAUUUUGUAAGUGCAAAGAACAAAGUUUCCAAUAAUACCCAGGAUUUGUCUGAAAUUACAAUAGGUAAGUACUGAGAGGGCCUAAGAUUUGUAUUGAGUUCUAUGGGAA